Octopus sinensis (East Asian common octopus) is the source of this 231-nucleotide long non-coding RNA. RefSeq lists it as uncharacterized. The transcript has 3 exons. NCBI's taxonomy places the organism in Eukaryota, Metazoa, Mollusca, Cephalopoda, Octopoda, Octopodidae. The record is from RefSeq and is a predicted model, not a curated record.
UUGUACCCUGUUGUCAUUGAUAAAUAUGGAGACCUGAGAAUUGAGAUUGGUAAGAUGUGGCAGCUACAAGAGUUAAACAUAAUGGUUAUCUCUAUUGUCAUUGGAGCAUUGAGUUCAAUAUCACCCAAUUUGCAAAAACAUCUGAAGACUUUAGAAAUACCCUACAAUCUAGGUGUAUUACAAAAGUCGGCAUUACUUGGAACUGCACACAUAUUGCAUAAAGUACUGUCU